UACGGAGGGGGCGAGCGUUAUUCGGAAUUAUUGGGCGUAAAGGGCGCGUAGGCGGCUGUACAAGUCAAAGGUGAAAUCCCUCGGCUCAACUGAGGAACUGCCUUUGAAACUGUACGGCUUGAGGCCGGGAGGGGGUAGCGGAAUUCCCAGUGUAGCGGUGAAAUGCGUAGAUAUCAGGAGGAACACCGGUGGCGAAGGCGGUUCUCUGGGCAUUACCUGACGCUGAGGAGCGAAAGUGUGGGGAGCGAACAGG
Molecule: ribosomal RNA, 253 nt
Filed under: uncultured bacterium
Lineage: Bacteria
Description: partial 16S ribosomal RNA
Rfam family: Bacterial small subunit ribosomal RNA
Source: RNAcentral